AUCUAACUGAUAGGCCUGGAGCAGUUCCUGCUGCUAAGGUUUCCACUACAGGGGAAAGAAAAGGUAUCCUUGUGCUUUCUAUGUGUCUGAUUGUGGCAGCCAAGAUUGGAUGGGGAAACACGGAG
Molecule: small nucleolar RNA, 125 nt
Filed under: Cebus imitator (Panamanian white-faced capuchin)
Lineage: Eukaryota; Metazoa; Chordata; Mammalia; Primates; Cebidae
Description: Small nucleolar RNA SNORA31 (ENSCCAG00000005189.1)
Source: RNAcentral